UACGUAGGUGACAAGCGUUGUCCGGAUUUACUGGGCGUAAAGAGCGCGCAGGCGGUCGUUCAAGUCGAGUGUGAAAGCCCCCGGCUCAACUGGGGAGGGUCAUUUGAUACUGAUCGACUCGAAGGCAGGAGAGGGUAGUGGAAUUCCCGGUGUAGUGGUGAAAUGCGUAGAUAUCGGGAGGAACACCAGUGGCGAAGGCGACUACCUGGCCUGUUCUUGACGCUGAGGCGCGAAAGCUAGGGGAGCAAACGGG
RNAcentral lists this ribosomal RNA (253 nucleotides) under uncultured bacterium. RNAcentral describes it as "partial 16S ribosomal RNA". It matches the Rfam family "Bacterial small subunit ribosomal RNA", at positions 524 to 776 of the family's 1533-position model. The record is from RNAcentral.